This 410-nucleotide ribosomal RNA is filed under the name Enterobacter sp. DsF.N010. RNAcentral describes it as "bacterial SSU rRNA". It matches the Rfam family "Bacterial small subunit ribosomal RNA", at positions 148 to 553 of the family's 1533-position model. Lineage: Bacteria; Pseudomonadati; Pseudomonadota; Gammaproteobacteria; Enterobacterales; Enterobacteriaceae. The record is from RNAcentral.
UACUGGAAACGGUAGCUAAUACCGUAUAACGUCGCAAGACCAAAGAGGGGGACCUUCGGGCCUCUUGCCAUCAGAUGUGCCCAGAUGGGAUUAGCUAGUAGGUGGGGUAACGGCUCACCUAGGCGACGAUCCCUAGCUGGUCUGAGAGGAUGACCAGCCACACUGGAACUGAGACACGGUCCAGACUCCUACGGGAGGCAGCAGUGGGGAAUAUUGCACAAUGGGCGCAAGCCUGAUGCAGCCAUGCCGCGUGUAUGAAGAAGGCCUUCGGGUUGUAAAGUACUUUCAGCGGGGAGGAAGGUGUUAAGGUUAAUAACCUCGACAAUUGACGUUACCCGCAGAAGAAGCACCGGCUAACUCCGUGCCAGCAGCCCGGGUAAUACGGAGGGUGCAAGCGUUAAUCAGAAUUA